Picea glauca (white spruce) is the source of this 80-nucleotide non-coding RNA. The record is from Rfam. Lineage: Eukaryota; Viridiplantae; Streptophyta; Pinopsida; Pinales; Pinaceae.
UUUUGAGGAUGAGGAAAAAAGUUGCAAAACAGUUAUCCCUGUCUGAAUAACAAUGUUGACAGGUUACUUCUGACUCAAUA